This 484-nucleotide ribosomal RNA is filed under the name uncultured bacterium. Its description in RNAcentral is "partial 16S ribosomal RNA". It matches the Rfam family "Bacterial small subunit ribosomal RNA", at positions 30 to 507 of the family's 1533-position model. The record is from RNAcentral.
AUUGAACGCUGGCGGCAGGCCUAACACAUGCAAGUCGAGCGGAUGAAGGGAGCUUGCUCCUGGAUUCAGCGGCGGACGGGUGAGUAAUGCCUAGGAAUCUGCCUGGUAGUGGGGGAUAACGUCCGGAAACGGGCGCUAAUAACGCAUACGUCCUGAGGGAGAAAGUGGGGGCUCUUCGGACCUCACGCUAUCAGAUGACCCUAGGUCGGAUUAGCUAGUUGGUGGGGUAAAGGCCUACCAAGGCGACGAUCCGUAACUGGUCUGAGAGGAUGAUCAGUCACACUGGAACUGAGACACGGUCCAGACUCCUACGGGAGGCAGCAGUGGGGAAUAUUGGACAAAGGGCGAAAGCCUGAUCCAGCCAUGCCGCGUGUGUGAAGAAGGUCUUCGGAUUGUAAAGCACUUUAAGUUGGGAGGAAGGGCAGUAAGUUAAUACCUUGCUGUUUUGACGUUACCAACAGAAUAAGCACCGGCUAACUUCGUG